RNAcentral lists this transfer RNA (71 nucleotides) under Dipodomys ordii (Ord's kangaroo rat). It matches the Rfam family "tRNA". From Rfam's summary of the family: Transfer RNA (tRNA) molecules are approximately 80 nucleotides in length. Their secondary structure includes four short double-helical elements and three loops (D, anti-codon, and T loops). Lineage: Eukaryota; Metazoa; Chordata; Mammalia; Rodentia; Heteromyidae. The record is from Rfam by way of RNAcentral.
GGGAAUGUGGCUCAGUUGGUAGAGCGUUUGCCUUGCAUGCCUAAGGCCCUGGGUUCGAUUCCUCAGCACCA